Molecule: ribosomal RNA, 273 nt
Filed under: uncultured bacterium
Lineage: Bacteria
Description: partial 16S ribosomal RNA
Rfam family: Bacterial small subunit ribosomal RNA
Source: RNAcentral
GACGAACGCUGGCGGCGUGCUUAACACAUGCAAGUCGAGCGGUAAGGCCCUUUCGGGGGUACACGGGCGGCGAACGGGUGAGUAACACGUGGGUGACCUGCCCUCCAGCUCUGGGAUAAGCCUGGGAAACCGGGUACUAAUACUGGAUAUGACUCCAUGACGCAUGUUGUGGGGUGGAAAGCCUUGUGCGGCUGAGGAUGGGCCCGCGGCCUAUCAGCUUGUUGGUGGGGUGAUGGCCUACCAAGGCGACGACGGGUAGCCGGCCUGAGAGGG